This is a long non-coding RNA of Homo sapiens (human), 3029 nucleotides long. RefSeq lists it as uncharacterized. The record is from RefSeq and is a predicted model, not a curated record. The transcript has 3 exons. Lineage: Eukaryota; Metazoa; Chordata; Mammalia; Primates; Hominidae.
CUCAAGUUUUCCACUGAUUUUCCUCUUUGUGUCUCCAUCCAAUGUUUAUUUUUUCCACAAACAACUAGGUAUGACUGAUAUUGUUUCCCUGUUUCUCUCCCAUUCCUUUAUAGAUAAGACCCUCUCCCUGUCCCUGAAAUGAACAGUGCACCCAAAGCAAGAUUGAAGCUAGGCUCUAGCUGCACUUCUGCCAUUCAUUGGAUGUGCAAACUUCUGCAAAAUACUGAUUUUAUUCUUUGUCUGCAAAAGCUAGUUAAGCACUCUAUUGCCUCUGGACUUCCUGUUGGCUGCCCAUCAGCACCCCGACCUCUCCAGACCUGAGGCUUUUCUCUGUUGGCUCGGCACUUCUUCCUGCCGCCAUGUGAAGAAAGAUGUGUUUGCUUCCCAUUCUGCCAUGAUGGUAAGUUUCCUGAGGCCUCUCCAGGCAUGUGGAACUGUGAGUCAAUUAAACAUGUUUCCUUUAUAAAUUACACAGUCUUGGGCAUGUGUUUAUUAGCAGUAUGAGAAUGGACUAAUACAGUUAAAUUGGUACUGGGUAGUGGGGUGCUGCUCUAAAUAUACUCAAAAAUGUGUAAGGUGUAAGCAACUUUGGAACUGGGUGACAGGCAGAGGUUGGAACACUUUGGAGAGCUCAGAAGAAGAUAGGAAAAUGUGGCAAAGUUGGGAACUUCCUAGAGACUUGGAGGGCUCAGAAGACACGAAGGUGUGGGAAAGUUUGCAACUUCCUAGAGACUUGUUGAAUGGCUUUGACCAAAAUGCUGAUAGUGAUAUGGAAAAUGAAGUCCGGGCUGAGAUGGUCUCAGAUGGAGGUGAGGAAUUUGUUGGGAACUGUAAUAAAGGUGACACUUGCUAUGUUCUAGCAAAGAGACUGAUGGCAUUUUGCCUCUGCCCUAGAGAUCUGUGGAACUUUGAAAUUGAGAGACAUGAUUUAGGGUAUCUGGCAGAAGAAAUUUCUAAGCAGCAAAGCAUUCAAGAGAUGACUUGGGUCUUGUUAAAAGCAUGCAGUUUUACGUAUUCACAAAGAGAUGGUUUGGAAUUGGAACUUAUGUUUGAAAGAGAAGCAGAGCAUAAAAGUUCAGAACAUUUGCAGCCUGAUGCAAUAGAAAAAAAAUUUUCUGAGGAGAAAUUCAACUCAACAGCAUAAACUUGUCUAAGUAAUGGGGAGCCAAAUGUUAAUCACCAAGACAAUGGGGAAAAUGUAUCCAGGGCCUGUCAGUGGUUUUCAUAGAAGCCCCUCCCAUCACAAGCCUAGAGGCCUGAGAAGCAAAAUAUGGUUUUGUUGAGUGGGCCCAGGGCCUUGCUGCUUUGUGCAGUCUCAGGACUUGGUCCCCUGCAUUCCAGCCAUGGCUAAAAAGGGCCAAGGUACAGCUCGGGCCAUGUCUUCAGAGAGUGCAAGCCUUGAGCCUUCACAGCUUCCAUGUAGUGUUGAGCCUGUGGGUGCAAAGAAGUCUAGAAUUUAGGUUAAGGAACCUCCACCUAGAUUUCAGAGGAUGUAUGGAAAUGCCUGGAUGUCCAGGCAGAAGUUUGCUACAGGGCUGGAGCCCUCAUGGAAAACCUUUGCUAGGGCAGUGUGGAAGGGAAAUGUGGGUUGGAGCCCCCACACAGAGUCCCCACUGGUGCACAGCCUAGUGGAGCUGUGAGAAGAGGGCCACCUUCCUCCAGGCUCCAGAAUGGUAGAUCCACUGACAGUUUACACCAUGCACCUGGCAAAACCUCAGGGACUCAAUGCCAGCCCAUGAAGACACCCAGGAGUGGGGUUGUACCCUGCAAAGCCACAGAGAUGGAGCUGCCCAAGGCCAUGGGAGCCCACAUCUUGCAUCAGCAUGACUUGGAUGUGAGACAUGGUGUCAAAGGAGAUCAUUUUGGAGCUUCAAUAUUUGACUGCCCCACUGGAUUUUGGACUUCCAUGGUGCCUGUAACCCCUUUACUUUGGCCACUGUCUCCCAUUUGGAGUGGGAGUAUUUACCCAAUGCCUGUACUUCCAUUGUAUCUAGGAGGUAAGUAACUUGCUUUUGAUUUUACAGGCUGACAGUCAAAAGGGAUUUGCCUUGUCUCUGAUUGGACUUUGGACUUGUACUUUUGGUUUAAUGCUAGAAUCAGUUAAGACUUUGGGAGACUGUUGGGAAGGCAUGAUUAUGUUUAGCAAUAUGAAGGCAUGAGAUUUGGGAAAGGUCAGGGAUGAAAUUAUAUGAUUAGGCUUUGUGUCCCCACCCAAAUCACAUCUUAAAUUGUAGCGCCCAUAAUCCCCACAUGUCAUGGGAGGGACCUGGUCAGAGGUAAUUGAAAUCAUGGGGACACAUACACCCAUGCUGCUGUUCUUGUGAUAGUGAGUGAGUUCUCACAAAAUAUGAUGGUUUUAUAAGGGGCUUCUCCCUCUUUGCUUGGCACUUCUUUUUCCUGCUCCCGCGUGAAGAAGGACGUGUUUGCUUCCCUUUCCUCCAUAAUUAUGUUUGCUGAGGCCUCCCCAGCCAUGCAGAACUGUGAGUGAAUUAAACUUCCUUCCUUUAUAAAUUACCCAGGGUCAGGUAUGUUUUUACUAGCAGCAUGAAAGCAGACUAAUACAGUACAUAUGCUACAGGUGUUGAUUUUGCACCAGUUGGUCAGAUUUGGAGACACUACUGCAUGUCUGGCAUUGUGCUUGGAGGUGUAAUACAAAGAUAAGGAUGGCCCUGCUCCUCUGGCUCAAUGUGAACAUAAAUAACUAAAUAUAAAACAAUGUGCAGCCGGGCGCGGUGGCUCACGCCUGUAAUCCCAGCACUUUGGGAGGCCGAGGCGGGCGGAUCACGAGGUCAGGAGAUCGAGACCAUCCUGGCUAACACGGUGAAACCCCGUCUCUACUAAAAAUACAAAAAAUUAGCCGGGCGUGGUAGCGGGCGCCUGUAGUCCCAGCUACUCGGGAGGCUGAGGCAGGAGAAUGGCGUGAACCCGGGAGGCGGAGCUUGCAGUGAGCCGAGAUCACGCCACUGCACUCCAGCCUGGGCGACAGAGCGAGACUCCGUCUCAAAAAAAAAAACAAAAAAAAAAAAAAA